RNAcentral lists this ribosomal RNA (253 nucleotides) under uncultured bacterium. Its description in RNAcentral is "partial 16S ribosomal RNA". It matches the Rfam family "Bacterial small subunit ribosomal RNA", at positions 524 to 776 of the family's 1533-position model. The record is from RNAcentral.
UACGGGGGGAGCAAGCGUUGUUCGGAUUUACUGGGCGUAAAGGGCACGUAGGCGGCGUGACAAGUCACUUGUGAAAUCUCCGGGCUUAACCCGGAACGGUCAAGUGAUACUGUCGUGCUAGAGUACAGAAGGGGCAACUGGAAUUCUCGGUGUAGCGGUGAAAUGCGUAGAUAUCGAGAGGAACACCUGCGGCGAAGGCGGGUUGCUGGGCUGAUACUGACGCUGAGGCGCGAAAGCCAGGGGAGCGAACGGG